Molecule: long non-coding RNA, 235 nt
Filed under: Lathyrus oleraceus (garden pea)
Lineage: Eukaryota; Viridiplantae; Streptophyta; Magnoliopsida; Fabales; Fabaceae
Description: Pisum sativum (pea) long non-coding RNA (PSAT_LNC030592)
Source: RNAcentral
UUUUCUGCAUUUGUCAUCGUUGGAGGACUUUCGGACCUCCGAUUUCGAUUCCGUAAAAAGCCACACGUUCAGAAAAUUAUAACUCAUACAAUACUCUAAGUAUAUCACGUUAAUUGGUAGUUUUAACACAAUUAAAUCACCACAAAUCCAGAAUACUCAUCAAAACCUAACAAUUCCAAAAUCAUAAAAAUUAAGGAUUUCAACCUAAACAUAUUUCUACCCAUUGACCCAAUCA